AUUGAACGCUGGCGGCAUGCCUUACACAUGCAAGUCGAACGGCAGCACGGGUGCUUGCACCUGGUGGCGAGUGGCGAACGGGUGAGUAAUACAUCGGAAUGUACCUUGUAGUGGGGGAUAGCUCGGCGAAAGCCGGAUUAAUACCGCAUACGCUCUGAGGAGGAAAGCGGGGGACCUUCGGGCCUCGUGCUACAAGAGCAGCCGAUGUCAGAUUAGCUUGUU
Molecule: ribosomal RNA, 222 nt
Filed under: uncultured Pandoraea sp.
Lineage: Bacteria; Pseudomonadati; Pseudomonadota; Betaproteobacteria; Burkholderiales; Burkholderiaceae
Description: partial 16S ribosomal RNA
Rfam family: Bacterial small subunit ribosomal RNA
Source: RNAcentral